Molecule: ribosomal RNA, 383 nt
Filed under: Entophlyctis sp.
Lineage: Eukaryota; Fungi; Chytridiomycota; Chytridiomycetes; Chytridiales; Chytriomycetaceae
Description: partial small subunit ribosomal RNA
Rfam family: Eukaryotic small subunit ribosomal RNA
Source: RNAcentral
AGCUCCAAUAGUAUAUAUUAGUGUUGUUGCAGUUAAAACGCUCGUAGUUGGAUUUUGGGGCGUGCUGCGUGGUCCGCCGAAAGGUGUGCACUGCGUUGGCGUGUCCUUCCUUCUGAAGACGGCGCAUGCCCUUCACCGGGUGUGUGCAUGGAUUCAGGAAAUUUACUUUGAAUAAAUAAGAGUGUUCAAAGCAGGCUUACGCUUGAAUACAUUAGCAUGGAAUAAUAGAAUAGGACUUUGGUUCUAUUUUGUUGGUUUCUAGGACCCAAGUAAUGAUUAAUAGGGAUAGUUGGGGGCAUUAGUAUUUAAUUGUCAGAGGUGAAAUUCUUGGAUUUAUGAAAGACUAACUUCUGCGAAAGCAUUUGCCAAGGAUGUUUUCAUUA